This 382-nucleotide ribosomal RNA is filed under the name Streptomyces sp. 1705a. Its description in RNAcentral is "bacterial SSU rRNA". It matches the Rfam family "Bacterial small subunit ribosomal RNA", at positions 1102 to 1474 of the family's 1533-position model. The record is from RNAcentral. Lineage: Bacteria; Bacillati; Actinomycetota; Actinomycetes; Kitasatosporales; Streptomycetaceae.
CCCUUGUCCUGUGUUGCCACCAUGCCCUUCGGGGUGAUGGGGACUCACAGGAAACUGCCGGGGUCAACUCGGAGGAAGGUGGGGACGACGUCAAGUCAUCAUGCCCCUUAUGUCUUGGGCUGCACACGUGCUACAAUGGCCGGUACAAUGAGCUGCGAAGCCGUGAGGUGGAGCAAAUCUCAAAAAGCCGGUCUCAGUUCGGAUUGGGGUCUGCAACUCGACCCCAUGAAAUCGGAGUCGCUAGUAAUCGCAGAUCAGCAUUGCUGCGGUGAAUACGUUCCCGGGCCUUGUACACACCGCCCGUCACGUCACGAAAGUCGGUAACACCCGAAGCCGGUGGCCCAACCCUUGUGGAGGGAGCUGUCCAAAGUGGGACUGGCGA